GAUGUUGAAAAAAUUAUUCAAGAAUAAUUUAUUCGGUAUAAAAUUUUUCUAGUACAAUGGUAUGGAUGAAGUUUGAUGUUUUAUUUUUUGAAUAGUUUUGUUAUAUAUGAUUUGGUAGGAUAGUAUAGUUAACAUGUAAGGUUAUUUAUCUUAUUCUAAAAAAAAAGUUUAAAAGAUGAAUAUAAUAUUCCAUUUUAAAUUUUUAUUUAUGCAAUGUACAAAUUUCUUAAGAAUUUGUUUGAAUGCACGAAUAUUUUGUUCUUAUAUCAUCUUGAUUUAUUCAAGAAAUUUAUAUAUUUGAUUGAUAACGAGUGUGAUAGAAAUGUUUAGAGUAAGAUAUGGUAUUCGGACUUCAAAUCAAUUUUUCAGAAUAAGAUAAAUUAUCUUGUAGAUGAAAUAUGCUAUUUUAUCAAAUCAUAGAUAAGAAGAUUUUUGAAGAAGCAAAAAUCAAAACUCCUAAUUUACAAUCAUACUAAAGAAAAUUUUAAAAUUGUUACUUUAUCAAUCUUUUGUCUUUUUUAUAUUAUUAGCCUGCCGCAAUGCACGAGUAACAUCACUAGUAUUUUAAUAAUUUGUUGUAAUCAUCACGCACAUUAAUUUUUUCCUUGCUGCGGUAUACGCUCAUCAUGUGUUACCAAAAGAAUUCAAUUAUGAUGGUUUGGAUUUUUUAGCUUGAAAUUUUAAUGAGCUGAACACGAGCUGGGAUCAGCUCUGGCUCAAAGUAGCUCGAAUUUCUACUAUUUGUAGUUUACAUAAAUCCAAACAUAAAGAGACAUAAAUUUUGUGAAAUCAAAUUAUUAUAUUAAGAUUCUAAUUUCCUAAUUUUCUUUCAACUUUUCAUACAGUAAUAAGGCUAACAAUUUAACUUUGUUAUUUGCGAUCCAGCUCGUGUUUAGCUUGUUUAUUCACGAGUUAAAUUUUUUACCUCGAUAUUUUAACGAGUCAAAUAAACGAGCCAAACACGUGCUGGCCCCGGCUUGUACGUGUUUGGCUCGUUGAGAGCCCUUCUCCUUGGUGGUGUGGUAGUAACUGGGAUAUUGCCGUGCCACUGCCACGUUAACAUUUUGUCAACUAAAGAAAUUGCAUGUUUGAUCUUACUGGCCCUAAAAGAAAUUUGGACCAUCUGAAAUGAUGAAUUUAAUAUUUGGUGCACCAAUGUGACAAUUUACCAAGUUAUUUGCUACAGUAUGUGAAUUUUUUUUAAAAAAAUUACUUACCCUUCUAGAGAAAGAGUAGCAUAUUCACCCCUUUUCUUGUUAAAUAUAAAAAUAUUUAAACACCGUUUUCUAACAGCUUAAGUUUUUAGAGUACAACGGUUAUUUCACAUGGUAUCAGAGCAGGAGGUCCUGAAUUCGAGUCGCGUCAGUCUCCUAACAUAUUAAUUUUCUCCUAUUUAAUUUAAGCCGACGUCAUGGGCCGACUAAAAAAAGAGUCUCGAGCCCAGACGUGAGGGGGAGUGUUAAAUAUAAAAAUAUUUAAACACCGUUCUCUAACAGCUUAAGCUUUUAGAGUACAACGGUUAUUUCACACUUCUCCAGGGUACAGCAUCUCUUUCCUUUAAAGUGCUUCUUGUCAAAUUCUAGUGAUUUUUGAUAGAUUUGCAAAUCUCUUCCUCCAUUUUCCUUGCCAAUAUAUAAGUAAGUCUCUUUUAGAAGGCAUAACAUUUUUUUAGUAAAAGCAUGUUUGAGCCCAAUUGACAAUGAUACUCUCAAGGGUUUAUUAUUGUUGGUGAAAAAUCCAAAAUCUCUAAAUAUUAUUUAAUUUUAUAAUUAUUCUCAUUUAUUGUCUUUUAUUAUGUUAAUUAAUUUGAUGGAUUAAAUUUAAUUUAUUUCUUCUUUAUGCCACAUAAAGGCAUGAAUUAAGUGGAAAGUUGGGAACGUUGAGAUUCCAACGUUUCAUUUUCUCUCCACUAUAUUUACAAUGGAUUGCACUGUUCAUCUAUGAUGAACAUGGCAGAGAGAUACAUUGGAAGAUAUAUAUUUUUCUUUUAUCACUUUGAUCUAUUGAGUUUUUGAUCUUUUUGUCAUCGGGUGUUGAAAGCGUCUCUGUCAACCUCCUUCACGAUCGUGCUCGCAGGAGGAGGAAUUCCGGUCGUACCUUGGGGUAUUAUUUCCGGUUAAUCCCGCACGUAAGGACGGGAAUACUCCUUAGGGCAGUGCCUCACACGCUUCCGGAUCAAUUAAGUAUUUAUUUGGAUUUAGCGAUCAUCAGUAAGUUGAUUUAUUUAUUUUCAUAAUAAAAAUUAGUUAGAACUUUAAUUACAAUCAGAUUUCUGUGCGGUAUUUGUUCUAACAAUUAUAAAGCUGUUUUCAAUGAAAAUGAUGAACUAGGGAAAAGGGUCAACCAGUCACUGUGUUUCCCUUUCAAGGAAUAGCAAACCCCUUUCUAGAAACAUUCUAUUUGGUAAACUGUAAAAUUGGUCAUUGAAUUUAUCUUGAAGUUUUGCUAGGCUUUAGUUUGUUGCAAGAAGUCACUGACUUUCAAUUUCCGAUUUAAUCUUGCCAGUUUAACGAAAUCAUUUAAGUGGCAGCUGAUUUGUCUUUCAUGUCAUGUCAUCUUCGAGAGAUGAUCGGGUGAUGAUGUGAUCAGUUGAUUUAGUUAUCAUAUUUUCUCGGAAUUAUUAUUAUUAUUUAAUCGUCAUGUUAUUUUCGAAAGUAUUACAAUAGCUGAAUCGAUAGUUUUCUCAUUACUUAAAAAUGAAGUGGUCGCUAAAUUAGUAUUUAACCUAUGGUGAUGUUGCUGUUAAAUUAACAAUAGAAUUAUCUCUACCUUAGUAGGGUAAAAUGAGGUAUCUAAGUAGUCAAAUUGGAACAGAAAUUGAAUUUUUAGUCAUUCUAUUUCUAUAAAUUAAAGUGUAAUGAUCUAAAUGUAACUUCAUAAUAAGUUGAACAACCUUUUUUAUGCUAUAAUUUUCUCUCUCUUUUUUUUUUUUUUUUGUUUCUCCAGAGUUUAGUAAUUUACUGAAAUGUCUAUAGAAUUUUUGUCCCAUGGGGUUCUAGCACAUUUCUAGUGUUAAUGUGACAUUUGAAGCACAUUUUUCUAGAAGCACAUUCUUCUAGAAGGAAAAUGUCAGAAAAAAUGUCCCUCGUGUUAAUGUGACAUUUGAAGCACAUUCCUCUAUAAGGAAAAUGUUAUUUCACCACCCAAAAAGUAAAGUCCUGAUGCUUAGAAUUUUUUAAAAAUUUUUAGGUCCUCUCUGGAUGUCGAAAAAAUUAUUCAAAAAUAUUUUAUUCGGUAUAAAAUUUUUCUAAUACGAUGGUAUGAUGGACGAAGUAUGAUGUUUUAUUUUAUUUUGAGAGAAAAGUAUGAUGUUUUAUUGUUUGAAAAGUCUUUCUAUACAUGAUUUGGUAGGAUAGUAUAGUUAACAUGCAAGGUUAUUUAUCUUAUUCUAAAAAAAAAUGGUUUAAAAGAUGUAUAUAAUAUUCCAUUUUAAAAUUUUAUUUAUGCAAUGUACAAAUUUCAUAAGAAUUUGUUUGAAUGCAUGAAUAUUUUGUUCGUUAUAUCUCUUGAUUAUUCAAAAAAUUUAUAUAUUUGACUGAUAAAGAGUGUGAUAGAAAUGUUUAAGAGUACGAUAUGGUAUUCAGACAAUUUUUCAGAAUAAAAUAAAUUAUCUUGUAGAUGAAAUAUGCUAUUUUAUCAAAUCAUGGACAAGAAGAAUUUUGAAGAAGCAAAAAAUCAAAACUCCUAAUUUACAAUCAUACUAAAUUUUUUUUAACAUGAAUUAAGUUUACUAUUGAUAAUUUAUUUCGACGUCCAAACAAGCCUUCAUAGAUUAAGAAAAGAUAUUGAAUAAAAUAUUCAUGCAUCCAAAAAAGGCCUUAGUAAUAUAGUAAUAUAUAUAUAGAAUUGAGCUCCUAUGCUUUUAAAAGUACCAAGCCAUUGGUACUUGUAAGUUUUCGGCCCUUGGAUUAAAGGAUGUACGGUUAUGAUGAUGUGGGCCUCCUAAGGUUGAGUGGGUAGUUUGUUGAAUAGUGUAAUAUAACGGUUGAAAUGAUUAAAAACGUAGAUCCAACGGUAAAAAAUUUACAAGUACCAAGUGCUUGGUGCUUUUACAAGCACCAUAGCCGGACUAUAUAUAUAUAUAUAUAUUACAAAUUUUUAAUACUUAGAUUUAAGGACAAUCCAAAUAUAAAAAGAUAUAUGUUUUGUGAAUCUUUUUUUGUAAUUUUCUUUUAGCUUUUUAUUUAGUAGUAGGGCUUCCAAUCUAAUUUGCUAUUUGCGAGUUGGCUCGUGUUCAGUUUAUUAAUAAACAAAUCAAACACGAAUUAAUUUGUUUAACUCCAUAUUUUAAUGAAUCAGUCUAUAUUUAGCUUAUUUAGCAAACGAGAGAAUAUAAGACUGUAGUACAUCAUCAAUUACAUCAAAGGACUAAUGCAGACUCCUAUAUUAAUAAAUGGUUUUUUUUAAAAAAAUUGAUUAAAUUUAUUAAAAAUCCAAACAUGUGUCAGGAUAUUUAGCAGAGAGGAGGACUUGGGUCCUUGGACUCAUUCCAUUGUUUGGACACAAAAAAAAAAAAAGUGAGACAAAGUAUUGAGCUUUUUAAGACUCCAAAAAUCUCCUAUUAGAAGCUUCUUUGUUGAAUAUUUUGGAAAGAACAGAUUAAAAAAAAAAAAAAAACUUAAAUACCACCCCUAUAGUUUCAUACUUUCUCACUUUAGUACUCUAUAAUUUAAAAUAUAUUACUUUUAUAUCUUGUGGUUUCAUUUUUCUCUUUUCAUUAUCCCAUCCGUUAAUUUUUUUAGUUAAAUCAGUGACAAAAUUAAAACCGCGGGAUGCUAAAGUAAAUAUUCGAUAAACCAUACGUGAGGUGUCUGAAGUUUUUUGUAUAUGAUUUAACGAAGAGUUAAUAGAGGCGCCGGGAAAAAAAAAAAAAAUAAAGCCACAGAGUAUUAAAGUGAUAUACUUUAAAACAUAAGAUAAGUCUUAAGUGAGCAAGCACGAAACUACAUGGGUGGUAUCUGAAAUUUAUCCAAAAAAAAACAUAUUUUCAAAUAAAAAGACAUAGGUUUGUAGAGUAGAGCUCCAAUUCACACAUGCAUUAGAUUGAUUGACAUGUACAAAAAUUCUCCAAGGGCUCUUUUUUUUCAAACUAACCUUUAAAAUUUUAGAAUUUAUUACAUGGUCCUAUCAAAAAUUUUGGUUAAAUAAUUUUAUUUUGGCCAACUCAGCGCCAAAAUGAAAGAAUAAUAGGAAAAAAAAAAGUGAAUUAUUUAAUGUCCUUUUUUUAGAAAGAAAAGGAUGAACAAUUAUCAUUUUUUUUUUAUUUCUCAUAUAUAAUUCUAACAACUAUAUUAAAAAUUCUAACAAAUCACAUGAGAUCCUAACUAUCCAAAGAAUUAUAACAAUCUAUUCAUAGGAUCCUAACAAUCAAACAAAAAUUCAAUAAUAAUUCACAUGUAAUUCUAAUAAUCUAAAAUGAAUCCUCAUAAUCCAUACAAAAAAAUUGAUAAAUAAUGAUAAUAAUUUGAAAAUAGUGAAUGAUUUACCGCUUUCUAAAGAUGGUGAACGAUUCAACCGAUUUUUUUAUAUUUGUCAAACAUGCAUUGAGUUUGCAAGAAGAAGAUUAGUUGGCCAAAUAAAAUGUUAAAAAAAUUAUUUGGCUAAUUAGAAAUUUUUAUAAGAUUAUUUUUUAAAAAAGUCAAUUCUACAAGGAGCAAAUAAUACUAAUGGUACACAUAAAAACGGAGUGUAAAUCUUAUAUCCAUCACUCAAGGUUUAUAUUGGAUUCUUGUUUUGUCUAUAUAUAUAUAUAUAUAUAUAUAGAGAGAGAGAGAGAGUCCGGUUAUGGUGCUUGUAAAAAUAUCAAGCACUUGGUACUUGUAAGUUUUUUUACCGUUAGAUCUACAUCUUUAAUCAUUUCAACCGUUAGAUUAUACUAUUCAACCAACUACCCACUCAACCCUAAGGGGCCCACAUCAUCCUAACCACACAUACUUUUAGAAGCGGGAACCCCUUGGUGCUUCUAGGUUUCUAACUCUUGGAUCUACUCUUUGAUUAUUAAUAGCCCUUGGAUUAAACACUCUUCCACCUACCACCACCUACCACCAUUAUCCCAACCUUACAUUUUCCAUCCAAUGGCUAAAAACUCAAAAACAUCACCCUCUUGGUGCUUUUGAGAGUGUUUUAGCUCAACUCUCUCUCUCUCUCUCUCUCUAUAUAUAUAUAUACACUUUUUUUAGGUGCACGAGUGAGUUAAUUUUAGCUCGUGUUCGACACGUUUAUUAAAUGAACGAUCGCUUUCGAACUCAUUUCGAAUCGAAUAUGAGCUAGCUUGUGAAUAAUAAGCUGAAUUGUCGGCCCAAAUCAGAAGUGAUAUUUAAAACUUAAAAAGUUAAAGGAUUAAUUUCAUACUGGUUCCUGCAAAUAUAGUGAAUGGCAAAUAUAUUCCUAUAAACUUCAACUUUCAUAUAUUGUCUCUGUAAAAAUUUUGAUGUUUUCAAAUAUAUCCCUGUAUUAGAAUCCAUUGGAAAAAUUUAGUUAACCAUAGGUUGAAUACUUAACCCUGAUUAGUUUUUGACAUUUUUAUCUCUCUUAUAUUAUACUGUUAUGAUUUUUGGAGGGAUAUAUUUGUUAUGACAAAAUUAAAAAUAUAAACAAUUCUCUAACGGUAAUAGAACAUAGAGAUAUAUUUGAAAAUAUUAGAACUUUUGUAGGAACAAUAUAUGAAAGUUGAAUUUUGUAGGGAUAUAUUUAUCAUUUACUAUGUUUACAGGGACCUGUAUGAAAUUAACCUAAAGUUAAAUUUCUAAGCCUUGACACUUUAAAGGAUCCAAAAAAUUUCAACAUUUUUGAAGCUUUCGUUUCUUAUGCUAUAAAAUGAUAGUGGGAGCUACAAACGAUAUAGAUUUUAAUGUGAGAUAUAGGCUUAUAAUAUAAGUAUAAGAAGAGUAAAAUGUUGGCAUAUGCUACUGGGGAUAAACUUAUAAUAAACUUUAGUAUCUUACUUUAUAUAUUUUAUUAUCUAUGUCACAUUUUUAGGGAUUUGGCCCAUGUUUUAAAGUAUUUAUAGUUUCUAGAAACUAAACACAACUAUUUUUCAAAAUUUCUCAAAAAUUUGAAAUUAUAUAUUUACUCGCUUUUUUGACUUUGGAAUGAUUUUUUUUAAUUUUCUUUCUCUCUCUCUCCUCUCCUUUGGUUGAAAACAUUGCAAUUAUCGUUAUUUUUGGGGUAAAAUUUAAAUAUCACCACUGCAGUUUAAUAUUUUUUUUAUUUUAGUAUUUUAUAAUUUAAAAUAUAUCAAUUCAGUAUCUCGUAAUUUUUUUUUUCUUUUCGUCAGUCCUCUGUUAAAUUUUUGUUAAAUCAUAUAAAAAAAAACUUCAGAUACCCUACCUAUAGUUUAUCAAAUAUUUAUUUUAGUAACAUUUAGUUUUAACUUUGUCACUGAUUUAACAAAAAAAAAUUAGUGGAGUGAAUAACAAAAAGAGAAAAAUAAAACCACAGUGUACGAAUGUGACACACUUUAAACCAUAUGGUACUAAAGUGGGAAAAUACGAAACCAUAGGAGUAAUAUUUAAAGUAUUUAUAGUCCCUAAAAACUUAACACCACUAUUUUCAAAAUUUCUCGAAAUUUUGAAAUUAUAUAUAUUUACUCAUUUUUUUGACUUUCUCCUCUUCUUCGGUUGAAAAUGCUGUAAUUAUAAUUAUUUUUAUUUAAUUGUUAAUUAAUAGGUGUAUUUAUAGCUUUAAUUAUGUCCACACAAUUAAGAUGUCAACAGCUCAGAUUCAAAUAAAUUUUUAAAAAUUUAAAAUUGAAUCCACCAAUCAAUAUUGAAAUUUGAAUCCGAACUUAAUGAAUUUUGAAAAUUUAUAUUCAAAGCCGAAGCCAACCAAAAGUUCGAAAUUCGAAAUCGAACCCCAAAGGCCCAAACAACUAUCUCUUUACCACAUUUUAAAAUAUUUAAUAUUAAAAUUUACGAUAAAGCACGAGUGGUAUUUAAAGUGUACCCAAAAUUUUCUCCACCGUACACUCCUCCACCACGUCUAUAUAAACCCUGGUACCAAACCCAAUCGACCAUUCUCCUUCUAUUCCUCUGCGUACCCAAAAAGUACCCCAAAACCCUUCCCUCUUUUCCAUUACAUUACAUUCUCUCAACAGCUCCCCAAACCCCCGCCCCUUCUCUAAGAGAGAGAGAGAGAGAGAGAGAGAGAGAGAUGAGCGCACUGCGCCCCACAUUCCCCCUCGCCGCCCCGAUCGGCGGCGGCGACGGGUUCCGCCGCGGCCGCGCCGGCGCCGCCGCGGCGGCGUCGUCGGCGUCGGCGGCGGCGUCGUCGGCGUCGGCGUCGGCGGGGGUGGGGGUGAGCUUGUACGAGGUGUUGGGGGUGGCGGAGGGGGAGGGGAGGGCGGAGGAGAUAAAGAGGGCGUACCGGCGCAUGGCGCGGCGACUCCACCCGGACGCGGCGGCGUCGCCCCCCGGCCGCGCCACCGCCGAGCAGGCGCGCCGCUUCAUCGCCGUUCGCGAGGCCUACGACACCCUCUCCGACCCCCACCGCCGCGCCCUCUACGACCGCUCCCUCGCCUCCUCGCCCUCCGCCUCUCAUCAGGUCGUUUAUUAGGGUUUCUUCUCCUUCUUCUUCUUCUUCUUCUUCUUUUCUUAGUAAUAAAUCUCUCUUCCGCAUUACCAUACUUAUUUGAGAUAAAUAUCCACUUUUUUAUUUUUUGCGUAAGAUUUUUUUUUCUACAAACACAGUAAAUUAUAAAUAUAUUCCUAAAAAAUUCAACUUUUAUAUAUUGUUCUUAUAAAAGUCCUAAUGUUUUCAAAUAUGUCCCUCUGAUUUAUUCCUGUUAAAACACUUUUUUUUAAUAAGUGCAAUGAUAUUUUUGGCAUCAUAAAUAUGUUUUUCCAAAAGUCUCAAUUAUUAAUUAAAGAGGGGUAAAAAGGUUAAUUCACCUCAUUAACUAAUUAGAAUUAAGUAUUUUAUCUAUGGUUAAUUAAUUUUUUCUAACGAAUCCUAAUGGCAAAGACGUAUUUGAAAAUAUCAGGACUUUUAUAGGAACAACAUAUGAAAACCGAAUUUUGUAGGGAUAUAUUUGUAAUUCACUAUAUCUGUAGGGAACUGUAUAAAAUUAACCCUUUUAAAAAAGUUUAUAUUUUAGAGUUUUAAAAUUUUAGAAAUGUUCUCAAGGGUUACGGGGAUCAAAUUGCAGUUACUUAUUCUAUUAGAAAAAAAGUAGUUUUUAAUGUUUUUCUAUAAUUCUUAAGUAAAGAAGUAGAUGAAAUAGGGAAUUAUUUGUAUCAAUUUGAAAUCUUGAGAGAGUAGAAUAAAAAGGGAAAGUGAAAAAGAUUUUCUUAUCUUAGCCUUUGUUUUUUUUUUUCAUUUGUUUUAGUCUGGUUAAAAUGUAUGAACACUCCUUGAACUUUAACCUAUUUUGCAAUUGACCCUCCAAAAUUUCAUUGCUCUUCUUAUUGGAAAAAGCUAUCCACACAUCCCUUUAGGGCCAUCCAAUGGAUGGGAUUUGCUUACUUAUUAUAUGAUGUGAUUAGUAAAAUAACUCUACCCAUUAGAUAGGUGAGGUGUAUGAUAUACGCUAUCUUUGGUUGGAGUGUAUCAGUAUCAUUGUUAUUUUUUAUUUUAUUUACACCCGCUCAACUUAUAAAUCAUUUGAUUUAGGUCCCAUCAUUUAUAACUUUGGAAAUUCUGUUAGAAUCAAACACCCACAAAGGAAAGAACGAUGUUUAAUAUUAUAUAUUCAAGAGUCCAACUCGGGUGCUUUUAGGAGUUUCGAUGAUGGGAUUUUAAAUCGAAGAUUCGUUCACUUAUAUUUGAUUUAGAGAAUUUAAAAUAUCUAGAAUACACAUAUCGUGAUUUUUCAAUAUCAUUUACCAAGUGAUCUAGAAAGCCCAAAAUCAACAAUUUUAAUGGUCAAUAUAUGAGCCGUUUACAAGUUUAAUGAUGUAGAAAUAUCGAAAUCGGAUGAAAUUUUGAUAGAAAAUCAUCAAACAAUAUUAAUAUUUUUGAUCUAAAAUUUGAGUGUUGUAUCAUCACUUUUUACAAGACUUUUAUAUUCAACCGUUGAUUUUCAGUCUUUUUGAUCACUAGAUAAAUGAUAUUUAAAAAAACCGCAAAAUUUAUUUUCUAGAUACUUUUAAAUAAUUUAGAUAAAGUCUAAUGGAACUAAUCGUCGAUUCGAAAGUCUUAUCAUUGGAAAUAAUUUGAAAGCACGGAGGCUUCUGUGCUUCUAAAAGAAGUUCAACUCGUAUAUUCAAAACUCCACAUCUUGUUUUUCCAACUUGAUGUUAGAGUUCGUGUACAAAUUAGAGUCUUUUAUGUUAUCUUCUUCAUUAAUUUUAUAUGUGGAUUAGUCAUAAAUUCCGUGGCUUUCAAGAUGUUUUCUGCUGCAGCUUUUUUGUAAUGAAGUUUAAUUUCCUUGAAAUAUUUUAAAAACAGUUUGAGGUUAUCUUUUCCUUGACUCUGUGAUACCAUAAAUGAGUGGACUAUUAAACAGGUUCAAAGUUAUUGCCUGCACCUGGUGUAUAGAUUGCUCGUGCACCGCUAGCUUUGUUCAAUUAUAGGUCAUUUAAAUAUCCAACAAAAACCAUUGGAUAAUCGAUAGAUAUAAUCUGAACAUCUAAAGGACCUAGCAAAUCAAAAUCAUAAGCUUUGGAACCAAUGUUGCAAAAAGGGGUAUUGUGCGGUAGGUGAGAAAUAGUUGCCUAAAACUUAUGAUUUUUAGUUUCUAGCUCUUUCGAAUGUCGUAAAAACACAUAUAAUAGAUUUGGUUACUCUUUUGAGACAUUUACGGUUCGCUUCUAUCUUUGUAAACCAUCCAGAGCAUAAACUUGUGCAGUAAUCUCUCUUGUAUUUGAUUGUUUAUUUCCUCUUCAAACUUCAGAAGCUAAAUAUAACUUACUCUAAAUAAAUUACUCAGUUCGUAUACAGUCUCUUCUGUUUUUUUUUUUUUUUUUUUUUUUUUUUUUUUCAUAUAUGAUUGUUCUGUUCCUUUCAAAACUUCUAUUUAUUUAUUUAUUUUGGUUUGGCAAAUUUAAGCAUAUGAAGUUAAUGUGUGUCAUUCAAGACAACUUUUCUGCUUCUAUUGUAGAAAAAAAAACUGGUUAGUUUCAUUUUGUUACCCUCUUGAAGAUUCCAACUUCUCUACAAAUAGUCGGGAUUGAAUUCGAAGAUUUUGAGGAAAUGUACCGUUUCGCAUUUUGAGUUAUGAGUUUGGAUCUUUUCCUUAUUGCACUGCAAUAUUUGCACCUAUUCCUCAUACCUAUCUUUAUAGACAUAAAAAGCUCUAUUUCUUGCGCUCUCACCCUUGAUUCUAUUAUCCAUCAUAUUUUUCUUUUCUUUUUUUUCUCCAUUAGUUAUACUUGAGUUGCGAUAGUAUAAUUAAUCCUUUUAUGUGCUAACUCUUUACUUGUUUAAAAUUAGGAAUUGGACGAACGAUCGCAUUGGAGGAAGCAUUGGCAAGAUCAGAUCGCGGAGUUAUGUUGGAGGAGCAUCGACAAGGAUUCAGAGGAUAACUUAUCUUGGGGAGCUCGAAUGCGACGGAAAUGGGGUGAAUCAUUGAACUGAAUAGGUAAAAUUUUUCAGAGUCAUGAAAAUAAUGGUUUUUUAGUCGAAAUAUUCGGUCAUCUAUUUGUUUUUGUAGAUUUGAUGGAGUUGUGUUCCAUCAUUGUUUUGUUGUAUAUAAAAGAUUAUUGAGUAACUCAGAAACUUUCAUAUAUCUCGAGGAAUCUUGGAAUGUACCAUCUCUUCUUUUUUAUGUAUGUGUUAGGUUUUUGUGUUUAUGACGAUAUAUAUAUAUAUAGAGAGAGAGAGAGAGAGAGAGAGCGAUAGAGAGAAGUGUUACUGUACUAUUAUGAGUAUAGAAGUUUUUGUACUCAUAACUCAUGAGUUGUUUUCGAUGAUGGAUCAUCUGGAUCAACGAUCUAUAACAUUAAAUAUGAUUUAGAGUAUUUGAAGUAUAUAGAAAUCAAAUUUUAUAAUUUUCGAAUUUAUAAUAAAUUUCAUAAUGUGGGUAUAAUAUAAACGAUCAAAAUCGAAUGAUCUCUUAAACAUAAAGGAUAAUGUUUUUAAAUCCAAGAUCGAAAUUAUUUAUCUUGAGCUAUACAGUGAAUAGAAUUUUUUAUUAAAAAUUUAACCGAUUUCGUUUGUUCUAUACCGUUAAUUCGGAAAUGCUCCACAUUGGUUGUUAAUAAAAAUGUUAAUUUUGAGGCCUUGUGAUCGUAAGAUAUAUGAUGUCUUCUUAUAUGAUGUUAAAAAAUUAUAAAAUUUAAUUUCUAGAAUAUUUAAAUAAUUUAAAUUAUAUUUAACGAUAUAGAACGUCAAUUCGAAAGCUUUAUUAUUGAAAAUAACUUAUGAUUACAAAAACAAUUAUACUCAUAAUAGUAUAAUAGUUGGUCUCUCUCUCUCUCUCUCUAAAAGCUUAAGUUGAUAGGUGGAGGUGCUCUUAUAUGUUAUAUACUUGACGGUCUUUAUUUCUAUCUAAUUCUCCUACUUAGUCGCAGAAGAAUGAUUGAGAUGGAUAUAUUAAAUUGACUAAAAAAAUUUAGGAGCGCAAAUCGCAAAAAUAGAAGCUUAGAAAGUUGUUAGAAAUAGAACAGGUCCAACUAAAUAUGUGUAAUUUUGCACAUAACUCUCUAAUGAGGAGGGACACCACAACAAUAACUACCGAAUAAUCUAAGCAUCGAAUUUCUUAUGCAGUUUUUUUAUUCUAAAUUAUGCAACAAUUCAUGAAAUAACGCUUUUUAGAAUGCUUUUUCAUAAACUGCAGUAAGUAUAUACUCAGUUAGUUCUUGAUUGAAUGAGCUAUUACCCCAAACUUACAUUUCACACAACUCUACUGCAAUCUGCAGGUGCGAAGGAUAAUAGUUUCUCCUUGAUAUUGUAGGAGAAAUGGUAAUUGAAUUGAUUAUGUUCUCCGAGAAUGCUCGCCUCCGGAAAACUCCUUAUAGCGACGCAGAGUUUAUUCACACCUAGUUUCACCACCACAUUGUUUGGCGGCACCGGGUAAUCGACACCGCCGCUAAAGUGGAGCGUCAUGCUCGGUAACGUCUCCUUAAACCCCUCAUGUGGCAACACAUAACAAACCUCAAAUAGUUCACUAUUCGUUGGUCGCAAUUUAAAUGGCUCGAAAUAUGCCUUGAAUGUUUCGAUGAUUCGCUCAUACGGUCCUCCUGACAUGAAUGCGGUGAAUGAUGUGCCUGAGUCGAUAAUAAAACCCCCUCUCACGUUUCCGUGAUCGUUUUUGUGAAUGGCAAAGUCCUUGGACUUGAAUCCGAGGCGGUGGCCCGCAACACUCACAUUGGAUAGGGGCAGAAAGUAUGUUAUCAAAGUCGGCGCAUGGAUAAUACGAAUGGUUCUCACUUGAGGGCCUCUGAGAAUAGCUUCGUCGCCGAACUUGAGCCGACUCAACGGUUGCUUAUUGCUCUUGAACGGCGGCAGGCAGUAUGAGAACCUACCGCCGAUCAAUUCCAACAGCUGCCUAGCUAGUGAUAGCGGCUCCAUAUUGAGGCCGAAUACUCCAGACUGCUCCUUCGUCAUCGCAGGAUCUCGAUUGUCAUUUGCACAACCGAAGAUGAAAUUACGUACAAACUCUUUUUGGUGUCUAUCGGACGCGAAGCCCAAUGUUUCAAAGGCGAGGAUGCCUUUCGAUGAAGAGCCAUCGCCAUAUCCUAUCGAGUAGUGGCAGUGGCCUUUGACGCAUUUCCACCCCGGUCGGCCCAGAUCGCACAACGUAUGGUUGCAUCGUAUCGGGUCGAAGGAGCUCGACUCUUUGACCGGGUGGAAGAUCGGUUUGCUCUGUUUCCAGCAGCGGAUGCAUGGCUUGCAUUGCAUCCACAAGAUGUCGCUGGCGGUGUCCAUCACUAGGUAGUUCUUCCGCCUGGUGGGCGUGCCGAUGUAGAUCUCUACCAUGUAGUUGAAGGGAUCACCUUUGAGAUUAGGGCGAAUGUGCUCUAUACCAUGAUCGACGCCGAGAAGGGAUGUUCUCAAGAGCUGUGCACGGGCGACGUCGCUCGCGUAAAGGCGUCGCACUCUCUCAUAUUCGGUGAGGUUACCGGGAAAAAGGGGAAAGCGGAUGGAGUACUUGUGGAUCAAGUUCAGGUGUAAGGAGCGAACGGCGACUAACUCAAGGAACAAGAAUAGAAAACCAACAUGCCAUUCAUGUGCCAUUUCCUACUCUCCCUUGAUAGAAACUCCAAUCACAACAAUUUUUAGUUGCUUUUAAGUCUUAGGACAUGGAUUAGUGUAACAUAACAUGAAUUGUUGGGUCUGCAUGUGGAGUAUUGAGAUUCAAGUUGUUCUGCUUGAAACUUAUAAUAAAUACUAGUUAUUAUUUGGGUGAUAUCUUUUGUAGAUUUGUGUAUAUCUAUAACUUUUUAGGUAAUACAUAGCAAAAGUGAUAUGUUCUCAGCAAAGGAUAAGAAAGAUUAAACCAAGAAAGUAAAUAUUCUCUAAUAAACGGACGCUCAAGUUAUACAUUUUAACUAGAUUGAUACCCAUGUAAUGCACAGUAGUGUCUACAAUAAUUGGGAAAACUUCAAAAACUUUCCUGUGGUUUUGCACUUUUUCACUUGAGUAUCAUGUGGUUUAAACUGUAUCAAGUUAAUACCCUGUGGUUUCACAUUUUCUCACUUUAGUAUCCUAUGGUUUAAAGUGUAUCAAGUUAGUACUCUGUAACUUAAGCAUUUUGGAUGGCAGACAGGUCCAAGAGGUUAAGAGAGUUAAACGUGUUAGAAUGGGAAUGGGAGUAGUUCUAGGAUGGAUGAACCUCCUGGAAAGUUAGGGCGUUAUAAAUGUCAAAUACUAUUAUGGUGAUAUCUUAUGUAGAUUUGCAUAUCUUAAUAAAAGUAAUAUGUUCUUAAAGGACAAGAAAAAAGAGAAGAAAAUAUCAAUUGGGCAUUCCAUGUCUAUGCACUCUAAUCAUAUAAGCUAAUUGCUUAAUAAGUAUCAAAAAUAACCUAUCGUAGUCCUUAAUUAAGUUUUGAAUUCUGAAAAAAUUAUCCUUGUACAUAUGCAGCAUACAUUCCUCACAAUUGGAUCAUUUUCUCAAACCGAGCAAUGAGACCGACGAAACUCGGAGAUAAGAUGCGGGAGCCGUCGAAAACGUAUGGUUUGUGAGCACUAGCCCCGACUUCAUGUAUGAUGUAGAAGCGCAACUUUAUCCUCUACCACAGUGAAAUCAAGAUCAGGCGUAUGGCAGAAACUCGCAACUUUCGACAUCCUUUGACCCGAGGAACUCGAUAGCAUUCUUAAUAUCGGUGAUCUUAAUUUAAAGUCGCAGGUACAUGGUGAAAUUAAAAAUGCAGGACAUAAGUUUUGUCAAAUUUUAUUAUUUGGAUUCCAAAUUAAAUCUUAUUAUGAUGCAUUAAGAUGAUUGAAUUGGUUGAUACACACAAACAUACAUCUCAUACAACUCGACUGCAAUCCGCAGGAGCGAAGGAUAAUAGUUUCUCUCUGACAUUGUACGAGAUACGGUGAUUGUAUUGGUAAUGUUCUCCGAGAAUGCUGAAGUUCGGAACACCUACUAUGCCGACGCAGAUUAUAUUCUUCUCCAUCUCCUCUAUCACAUGCUGCGGUGAAACGACGUAAUCGACGCCGCCGAUAAAGUGAAGCACGAAUCCAGGUAACUCCCCUUCAACCCCCUUGUGCGGCACUCUAUAACAAACCUCAAAGGAACUGUGAUUCGCCGGCUGCAACUUAAGCUGCUUGAAGUACGCUCUAAACGCCUCGCUUAUCCGCUCAUACGGGCCUCCCGUGCGGAACGCAGUAUAUGUUGAGCCCGAGUCGAUAAAAACGCCCCCUCUCAGUAACCCUUCGGCAUCUUUACGGAGAGCAAAAUCUUUUGGCGUGAAGCCGAGGCGAUGGCCGGCGACGCUCACGUCUGAGAGAGGAAGGUAGUACAGCGGCUGAGUCGGCACAUAGAUAAUGCGGAUAGUCUUUACAUGAGGGCCUUUAAGAAUGGCCUCAUCGCCGAACUUGAGCCGGCUCGGCGGCUGCCUAUUGCUCGUGAACGGCGGAAGGCAAUAUGAGAACCUGCCACCAAUCGGUCCCGUCAGCUGACUUGCGAGCGAUAAUGGCUCCAUGUCAAGGCCGAAAAGUCCUGAUAGCGCUUUUGGCAUCGAGAAACCUCGGUUAUCAUUUGCGCAACCGAAGACAAAUUUAUGCACAAACUCCUUUUGGGACCUGUCGGAGGAAAAACCUAAUGUCUCGGAGGCGAGGAGACCUUUCGAUGAAGAGCCCUCGGCAUAUUUUAUGGUGUAGUGGCAUUGGCCUUUAACGCAUUUCCUAUCCGGGUCGCUCAAAUCGCACAAUGUAUGGUUGCAAGGGAUGGGUUCAAAGGAGCUGGACUCCCUGGCGGGAUGGAAGAUCGGCACGGGCUGUUUCCAACAAUGAAUGCAUGGCUUGCAUUGCAUCCAUAAGAUGUCGCUGGCAGUGUCCAUGACUAAGUAGUAUUUCCUUUUGGCGGGCGUGCCGAUGUAGAUCUCUACCAUGUAGACAUGGGGCUGAGCUUUGAUAGUAGGGCGCAGAUGUUCCACGCUAUAGUUGAGACCUAAGAGGGACGGUCUCAAGGUUUGUGCGCGCGCUAUGUUAUCUGCAUAAAGGCGCUUCGCCCUCUCAUAUUUAGUGAGGUUUCCGGGAAAGAGGGGAGAAUACACCGAGUACUUAUGAAUCAAAUUGAAGUGCAGAGAAUGAACAAUUUUCAAUGAAAGUGCUAACAGAAAAAAGGUGAUACGCCAUGUUGGUGCCAUUUCUAAGCCUUAAUUUCUUAAUGGAGACUUAAUUCAAUCACUGUACUAUUUAUUUGAUUAGUAUAAUAGAAAGCAACUAGAGAUUUUCCAACAAGCUGUAGCUUUUGGAUGUAAAAUGUUGAGUUUGAAGUUGUUGUAUCUCAAAUUUAUAGAUGUUAAGUGCCAUUAUGGUGGUGAUAUCUUCUGUAGAUAUGCAUAUCUUAACUUUUUCAAAAUAGUAGAUAACAAAAAUAAUAUAUUCCUCGUAAAGGAUAAGAAAAAAGAAAAAGAAAAUAUCAAUUGCGCAUUCUAUGCCUAUGCACUGUAAUCAUAUAAACUAAUAAACUAAAUAUCAAAAAUGAAAUUGCCACUCGUUAGAAAAUGAAAUAGUAACUUGCAUAAUAAAAGUAGGUUUUCAUUCAGGAAUUGAGCUUUUAUGCUUUCAAAAUUACCAAGCCAUUGUGCUUGGAGUUUUCUGCAUUUGGAUGAAGAUUUGUUAGGUUUGGAUAUAUAAUAGUGAUUCCCUAUGGUUUAGUAGGUGGUUGGUGAAAUACCCUGAUCUAACGGUGAAAAAUUUACAAGCAUCAAGUACUUAGUGCUUUUAAAUACAGGAUAGCUGGACUCGCAAACCAGUAUAUACCUAUAUAUAUAAGAAAUGCAUGUUAUGAAAUUACUUUAAUGCCCUACUUAUAUAUAUAUAUAUAUAUAUAUAUAUAUAUAUAUAUAUAAAAUAUAUAUAUAUAUAUUAUAUAUAUAUAUAUAUAUUAUCUUAGUUAGUAAAGAUUCGCGAAUUAUUUCGACGAAUUAUUGAAAUCGAAUUAAACGGCUUUACGAAUUUUUCCGAAAGAAAGGAAAUUAUUCGCGAAUAUUUGGCCAGCCGAAUUAUUCGCGAAUAAUUCGCCGAUUAUUGCCGAAUUAUUGAAAAUAUGAAUAAAAAACUUAUAGUUUUAUUUUAAAUAUAAAUUAUUUUAUAUUUUAUAUCUUAUUUUAUAUUUUAUACGAAUUCGUUUUUAGACCGAAUUUUUCAACAAAUUUAAAAAAUUAGAAACGAAUUUUAUACGUAUUAUAUCGUACCGAAAUUUUGCGAAUCCGAAUUAACUACUAUGUGUAUUAUACUAAAAGAGUCAUCCAACAUAACUCUCUAAAAUUUAUUUUUAAAUUAGAUAAUUUAUUAUAAAUACUUCAAGAAAAAAAAAAAAAAAAAAAAAAAAAAAAAAUAUAUAUAUAUAUAUAUAUUAUAUAAUAUAUAUAUAUAUUAUAUAUAUAUAUAAAAGCACGCAUUUUAGCUUAGGUCUACGACAGUCGACAGACCCACUUUUUGGAGGAAAAAAAUGUUGGUUCCUCUUUUUCCUCGUGCAAAAAAAAAUAAUGUAUUGAAAAAACAUUUAAUUUAUCUUUUUCUCUAACGGAUAACGUUUUAUUUUCUAUUAAAUAUUUAGAUAUCAUUCCAUAUCUUUUUUUUGGUAAUAUUUUCAGAUUAUCUCAAUACAAUUUACUAAAUUUUUAGUUGUUAUAUUAACUUUUUAUUUAUUUGUCCUUAAAAAUAAAAUUUAAAUUUAAAUUUAUAAUUUUAUUCUUAUUUGAUUUUAAUGAUAUUUCCUCUUAAAUUUCGAGUUAAAAUUUAUUUAUAUGUUUUAAAUUUAACUUUAUAAAUUAAAAUUUGAGUUUAAAUCGUGAAUUAAGUUUAAUUUUGGAUAUAAUUUUUGAAUAACAACUUAAAAAUAUUAGUUGAAGUGAAUCAAAAUAAAAUUUUAAAUAUUAAAUUAGAGGUGAAUUAAAAUUUUGAUUCUUUUGAAAUCUGACUCCUUUGGGUGCAAACAAGAUUGCUUGAUUUUUCUCCCUUAAUUAAGCUGGCUUGUUGGGCGAUGUCAACAGGUCGGAUUCGAGAUGGGUUUUCAUAAACCGGGUUCCAAACCCAACUACAACUGAAACUCAAACUCGAAUCUGAAUCUGACGAAUUUUAAAAAUUCAUGUUCUAACCCGAACUCAAUAAAAAAAUCCGAAACAAGACCCCGAACCCGAAUCUGAACAGGAAAACCCAAAUCCGAAAUAAUUACUUCUUUUUACCAUAUUUUAAACAUAUAAUAUUAAAUUUAAAAUUUUAAAUUAUAAAUUCAAAUAUAACACCAAACAUAUAUAUAUAAUGUAAAAUCAAUUCGAGUUCGGGUUCGAGUUCAGAUAGAGAAAAAAUUCAUAUCCGAAUCCAAAUUCUUAAAAUUUUUAUUUUUUAUAUCUAUAUUCGAGACUAUAUUCAUUUAGUAUGGAUAAAUCCGCUCUAUUCUGAUUCGGGUUCCGAUAAAAUCGGCUAAGUACCCCUGGACAUCCCUAUGCAUUUAUGGCUUGGUCUCAAACUUUGCAAGCCUCCCAUGAGAGAGAAAUUUGGAGGGUGUUUAGUUUUCCAAAAAUAAAAAAUAAAAAAAUAGUUUUCUCACUGAAAAGUGUGUUUUCCUAUCCAUUUGGUUCCUAAAAAGAAUUAAAAUAUUUUAUUUUCAUGUUUUAUAGAAAAAGAGGUUUUUGUUUGUUUUUUUCAAAAACAGAAUUAUAGAAAGUAUUUUCUUAUAAUUUUUUUUUUAGAAAACAGUUUUCAGGAGAGCAUGUUUUCUAUGAUUUCUUUUCUCCUAGAAAGCAAGUUGUUUACUCUUUUUUAAAAUCAAAUACCCCUUAAUUAUAAUUGCAUUCAAAUUUAUCUUUUUAACUUUUUCACUUUGUGAAACCCAUGCAUUAAUUAUGGGUGUACUCCACAAAGCUUGGUAAAAAAAAAGUAGGCCCCCCUUCAAAAGGCAACAACUAGAGUAUUCUCAAUGGGGAUGUGAACAUGGGGAAACUAAAACUAGAGGACAUAAAUUUUAUUAAAUGUUAUCAAUUGCACUCCAAAUUAAAGCUUAUGAUGAUGCAUUAAGAUGACCGAAUUGGCGGAUAUACUAGACAUACAUUUCAUACAACUCGACUGCAAUCAACAGGAGCAAAGGAUAAUAGCUUCUCUUUGACAUUGUACGAGAAAUGGUGAUCGUACGGGUAAUGUUCUCCGAGAAUGCUUAUAUUCAGACGACCUACUAUAGUGACGCAGAUAAUAUUCUUCUCCACCUUCUCCAUCACGUACUGUGGUGGCACUACGUAAUCGACACCGCCGGUAAAGUGAAUUGUCAAGCUCGGUAAUGCCCACUUAAACCCCCUAUCCGACCACGUACCUAUAACAAAUGUCAAACAUAGUACGAUGCGUUGGCCGCAGCUUAAGCUUCUUGAAGUAUGCUCUAAAUGCCUCCCUUAUUCGCUCAUACGGGCCUCCCGUGCUGAAUCCAGUGUACGUUGAGCCCGAGUCGAUUAAAAAGCCCCCUCUUACAAACCCUUGAGCAUCUUUGUGAUGAGCAAAGUCUUUCGGUGUGAAGCCGAGGCGAUGGCUAGCAAUGCUGAUGUCUGCAAGAGGAAGGUACGUAGUACAAUGGAUGAUGAGUUGGCUCAUGGAUAAUGUGAAUUGUCCUUACAUGAGGGCCUUUAAGAAUGGCCUCAUCACCGAACCUGAGCCGGCUAGGUGAGCCGCCUAUUGCUCGUGAAUGGCGGCAGGCAAUAUGAGAAUCGACCCCCAGUUGGUCUCCCUUUAGUUGAUUUGGCAGUGAUAAUGGCUCCAUGUCAAGGCCGAAAGCUCCCGAUAACUCUUUUGGCAUCGAGAAACCUCGGUUAUCAUUUGCACAACCAAAGACAAAUUUAUGCACAAACUCUAUUUCGUGCCUAUCGGGAGAAAAACCUAAUGUCUCAUAGGCGAGGACACCUCUUGAUGAAGAGCCCUCGCCAUAUUUGAUAGUGUAGUGGCAUUGGCCUUUAACGUAUUUCUUAUCUAGAUCAUUCAAAUCGCACAAGGCAUGGUUGCACGGUGUAGGGUCAAAGGAGCUCGACUCUUUGGAUGGGUGGAAGAUCGGCAUGCUUUGUUUCCAACAAUGAAUGCAUGGCUUGCAUUGCAUGCAUAAGAUGUCACUGCUGGUGUCCAACACUAAAUGUAUUUCCUUUUGGCUGGUGUGCCGAUGUAGAGCUCUACCAUAUAGGAGUUGUUCAAACCUUUGAUAGUAGGGCGCAGAUGUUGUACACUAUAGUUGAGACCUAAAAGGGAUGGUCUCAAGAGUUGUGCGCGGGGUUAUGUCAUCUGCAUAAAGGCGCUUUGACCUCUCAUAUUGAGUUAAGGUUUCCGAGAAAGAGGGGAGAGUAGACUGAAUACUUAUGAAUCAAAUUGAAAUGUAGAGAAAGGACAACUUUUAAUGGAAGUGCUAGCAAAGUAUAGGUGACACUACAGGAAAACACGCUUGUAGAGGCGGUUUUUACCGCCGGUAGAGGCGGUUUAAACCGCCUCUACGAAUUGUAGAGGCAGUUUCUGCGACCGCCUCUAAAACGCCGGUAUAGACAGUGCCUCUACAUCCGUUUGAUAUCUUGUUUGCAAACAUCUCCAAUGCUUCACCUCUGCUAACAAACAUCUCCAAUGCUUAUAUGCUGCACAACCAAAAAUAGAAUCAGAAGGACUAACAAAGGUUUAAUAUCUUGUUUGCAAAACUUCCCAGAUCAGCAUCAUCACACAAUCGUACUCUCCCACUUAAAUUCCACCAAAAAUAUAUACAAAAGCCGACGGAAAAGAUCUACAAUCUUAUAAACUCCUAAAAUCAGCAGCAAAACAAGAUAUUCAAGCUUACCUGCAAAUAACAAAAAUAGAACUACUACAAAGAAUCUCUUUUCUUUACACAUUGCAAGUAAAUCUGCAGAGCUGUUAAUCAUUUUAAUCAUUUGCUCGCGGAUCCAAUGUAGAUGCAUCUAACUGAAGCUUUUGGAGGCUACAGCUCAAUCAAGCCACAAAAUGAUUUCACAAAAGACGAUUGUUAUAUAGUGGUUAAGAACUCGCUUUUUUUACAGUGUUGGCCCCUAUUAGCCUCGCAAAUUAGAGAGGAAAACAAAAAAGUUUGCGUAGAAAAAGUUUGCUGAUGAUGGAAUUAAUUAAGUUAAUUAACACGAAAGAUGCUUUUGGUUAGGUAAAUUAAGCCACACAAAAGGAGUAUAAGUACUUAAGAAAUAACGUUUGCAGUAUGUGUCAUUACUACACUUAUAUAUACAUUACAAAGCAAGGGAAAGCAAAAGUUUGGUAUUCUAAAUUGGGGGCCUCGGUUAAUUAAGUAAGGAUUAUUGCAAUAAAGAACUGGGCACCACAUGUUGAGCCGAAUUGCAUGCCCUGCAUUUAGCCUUUUAUUAUCCCAAUCAUUGAUGAACUCUUCAGACGCUAAUCUUUUCGUGCCCAAUGCUGGAAAAAGAAAAAAGGUAUAGGUUAGUAAGUUUCAAAAUAAAUCAUUAUGCAGGAUGGUGGCAAGAACUUGUAAUAAAAUGUGAAUAAAAAAGCUAACUAACAAUACGAAUUAACUAGCAAUAUGUUCGUGAAUAUAUAUCAUCCUCUAGUUACAUGUAAAUAAAAACACUCCAACUGUUCUUCAUCAAAAAAAGCAAAGCUACACCAAUCACCAAUGCAUCAGUUCCAUAAAUUACUAGAAUCUGCCAGCACUAAUUUAUAGAAAUCAUCUAAGAAUACUAUAAAAUAAAGUCCACUAGGAUAAGCAGUGAGGGAGGGGCGUAGUGGCGGGGAAGGGGUGAGGGGGUGGUGCCCCUAACAGAUUUUGUAGAGGCGGUUGUUACAAACGUCUUUGAACAACCGCCUCUACAAUAGCUUUUUCCUGUAGUGUGAUAUGCCAUGUUGGUGUCAUUUCUUACCCUUUCUUAAUGGAGACCUCAAUCACUAUAUUAUUUAUUUGAUUAAAACAGUAGAAAGCAAAUAGGGACUUUCCAAUGAGCUGUAACUUUCGGACCUGAAUCAGUAAAAUAUGAAUUGUGGGGUCUCUAAAAUGUAGUGUUUGAACUUAUUAUAUCUUAUAUUUAUAGAUGUUAGAUACCAUUUCAGGUCUGAAUCAAUAAAAUAUGAAUUGCGCGGUCUCUAAAAUGUAGAGUUUGAACUUAUUGUAUCUUAUAUUUAUAGAUAUUAGAUACCAUUAUGGUGAUAUCUUCUAUAGAUAUGCAUAUCUUAACUUUUCAAAUAGUAGAUAGCAAAAGUAAUAUGUUUAGUAAAGGAUGAGAGAAAAAAAGAAAAGAAAAAAAAGACUAUCAAUUGGGCAUUCUAUGUCUAUGCACUUUAAUUGUAUAAGAAAAUAUCUUACUAAAUAUUAAAAAUUAAUUGCAACUUGUUAGAAAAUGAAAUAGUAACUUCCAUCAAUAAAAGUAGGUUUUCAUUUAGCCAACCAAUAAAUACCUGUAUAAAAAAUGCAUUCAAUGAAAAGUGUCAAUGAACUAUAAUUCUUUAAAAUUUAUUAUUUAAAUUAUAUGUACAAUAUCACUAUAACAAAAACGGUGUAUAGCGACAUUUUUAAAUGCCAACACAGAUAAAAAAAAAAAUGCUGCUGGCUAAAUUACUGACACUUUUUAGAGUGUUGCUAUAUGUGGGGUCGCUAUAUGUAGGGCCGCGUUGAUGUUUGGCACCCGAGACCUGUUGCAGAGGGACACGUGGCGAUCGUAGCCCUCUUCGCGGCCAAAUUCCAACUGCCGAAACCUUACCUCGUCGACUGCUGCGACGGAGAAGGAGAAGGGGAAAUGAUGAUCAUUUUUUCAUUUUUUUUUCUUUUCUAUUUGUAAUCGGGCCAGGUGGGCUUGCUGGGGUUGGUUGAGUAGAGGAAUUUUUUACUUUUGAUUAGAUUGGGAUUUAUAUUUAGGCCUUAGUAUAUUUUUUAAAAAAAAUUUGGCAUUAAUAGGACACUUACACAAUAGUGUCCCAAAAAUAUGUCCCUAUGAUAUAAUUCUGUUGUAGUGUAUAUAUAUAAUCAUGUAUUUUAAAUUUGGGUCUACCAACAAAUUCAUUUUUAGCCGGGAUAAAAAAAAGAUAUUUAGUUUUUUCCUUUGAAAAUUGUGCUUCAAAAUUUUAACUUUAAAAUUAUUUACAAAUAAAUUAUCUAAAAAUAAAUGCGAUGUGCAUUGAAUGUGCGCUUUAACUAGCAUAUAAAUAUAUAGUCUGGCUUGUAUAUACUAUUAAAUCAUCGAGACCUCUGCGCUACCAAGUUAUUUUGAUGAUGAAAUAUCUGAAUUAAUGAUUGAUCCUUUUUAUAGAGAAUCCAAACUAUUGAAAGUAUCUAGAGAUCAAUUUUUAUGAUUUUUCGAUGUCAUUUACGAUAUGAAUUUAAAACUUGAUUCCGAAUUCGAAAUCAGAAUCCAAUGUUUGAAUCCAAAUUUGAAGUCUCAAUCUAAGUAUUUGAAUUCGGAUAUGAAAACGAACUAAAGUUUGAAUCCGAAUUUGAAAUCUGAUUGACCAUGGGUGAAAACUAAAUUGCUUGAUUUUUCUCCCUUUAGUUGGUUUGUGUCGAGUGUUUUAGAAAGCCUCUGUGAGAGAGAAAUUUAGGGGGGUGUUUGGUUUUCCAAAAAAGAAAAUUUCAGAAACAGUUUUAAAAAAAUAUUUUUCUGUUCAUUUGGUUCCUAAAGAAAAAAAUUUGAAAAGUUUCUUUUUUGAUAUUUUAUGGAAAAAAUAUUUUUUUUUACCAAAUUUUUUAUCCAAAAAAUUUGUAUAGAAAGUUUAUUUUUUUAUGAUUUUUUUUUUCUAGAAAGCAGUUUUUAGAAAGUAUGUUUUUUAUGAUUUUUUUUCUAUAAAGCAUUUUUUAUGCUUUUUCUAAAAUCAAAGUACCCCUUAAUUCUAAUUGCACUCAAACUUGAAGCACCUUUAGAUAUCUUAAAUAUAAAAUUAUAAAAAAUAUUACUCUUCACCAGCUAAAAAUUUGGAGAAAAUGAUUAUUUAAUUGAUUUUCUCCCCUUUAAUUCAGCCUCUCGUUGUCAUGGACCUAUCAAAAAGUCUCGAACCUAGAUAUAAGAAAAGGUAUUAAAUAUAAAAUUAAAAAAAAUAUAUCAUUUUUUACUGGCUUACGUACGCUUUUGGAGGGAACAGCUGUUUCAUUAAAGUUAACAAGAUAUGUCAUAUUGACCAAAUUAAUGUUUUCAACUUCAUCAUUUUGUCAACCCCAUACAUUAAUUAUGUAAGAGCAAAUAAUUAUGAUGCUAAUUAUACAAGUACUCAAACAAAAAUUGGUUUAUAUACACCAAAACAAUGUGUAACAAAAGCAAGCACACCUUCAAAAGGCAACAACUAGAGCAUUCUCAAUAGAGAUGAUGUUUAAAGCUAGAUGAACAUGGUGAUACUAAAAAUGCAGGACAUAAAAUUUUAGGGAAAACUUCAAAAACUUCCCCCGUGGUUUCAUAGUUUCUCACUUUGCCCCCCUGUGGUUUAAAAUGUAUCAAUUUGCCCCCCCUGUGGUUUCUUUUCUCUCUUUUUCUUAUCAAUUUCAUCAUUUUUUUUUCCUUAAAUCAGUGAUAAAGUUAAAAUUAAAGGGUAUUAAAGUGAAUAUUUGAUAAAUCUAGAUGGGCAUCUGAAGGUUUUUGUAUAUAAUUUAAUGAAAUAUUAACAAAAAAGCUACCGAAAAGAUAAAAACGAAACCACAGGGGGGGCAAAUUGAUACAUUUUAAACCACAGGGGGGCAAAGUGAGAAACUACGAAACCACAGGGGCUUUUUUUGAAGUUUUUCCUAAAUUUUAUUAAAUUAUAUCAAUUUCACUCCAAAGUAAAGCUGAUGUAUUAAAAUGACCGAAAUGGCGGAUACGCUAAAUAUGCAUUUCAUACAACUCGACUGCAAUCAGCAGGAGCGAAGGAUAAUCGCUUCUCUCUGACAUUGUACGAGAAAUGGUGAUUGUAUUGGUAAUGUUCUCCAAGAACGCUCAUAUUUGGACGACCUACUAUGCCGACGCAGAUUAUAUUCUUCUCCAUCUCCUCCAUCACAUUCUGUGGUGCCACUGUAUAAUCGACGCCGCCGCUAAAGUGAACCGUCAAGCUCGGCAAUGCCCCCUUAACCCCCUUAUGCGGCACUCUAUAACAAACCUCAAAUGAACUGUGAUUCGCCGACCGCAGCUUAAGUUGCUUGAAGUGUGCUCUAAAUGCCUCCCUUAUUCGCUCAUACGGGCCUCCCGUGCUUAAUGCGGUAUAUGUUGAGCCCGAGUCGAUAAAAAAGCCCCCUCUCACUAGCCCUCGAGCAUCUUUGCGAAGAGCAAAAUCGUUUGGCGUGAAGCCGAGGCGAUGGCCGGCAACACUGAUGUCUGAAAGAGGGAGGUAGUGUCGGAUCGUUGGCGCUAACCAUUAAUCCCAAAAGCUCGAGCUGUUAGAAAUACGCAACCAAUUCACUUAAAGCGUACAGAAACAGCGCCCACGGGUCUCGAUGGUGACUUGGCCCACCUGGCCUCACGCCACUUCGAACAUGACUCGGCCCAACCUAGCCUCACGCCAUUUCGAACAUGACUCGGCCCACAUGGCCUCCCGCCACAGGGCAGGAUGCUGGCCCACUUAAGCCAACAGGUAGUACAUCGGACGGCUGCCUAUUGCUCGUCAACGGCGGAAGGCAAUAUGAGAACCUGCCACCGAUCGGUCCCAUUAGCUGACUUGCCAGUGAUAAUGGCUCCAUGUCGAGGCCGAAAACUCCUGACAACUCCUUUGGCAUCGAGAAACCUUUGUUAUCAUUUGCGCAACCAAAAACAAAUUUACGCACAACAUCUUUUUGCGACCUGUCGGAAGAGAAACCUAAUGUCUCAGAGCCGAGGACACCUCUCGAUGAAGAGCCCUCGUUAUAGUCGAUAUUGUAGUGGCAUUGGCCUUUAACGCAUUUCUUAUCUGGGUCAUUCAAAUCGCACAACGUAUGGUUGCAUGGUAUCGGGUCGAAAGAGCUCGACUCUUUGGUCGGGUGGAAGAUCGGCAUAGUUUGUUUCCAACAAUGAAUGCAUGGCUUGCAUUGCAUCCAUAAUAUGUCACUGCUAGUGUCCAUGACUAAGUAGUAUUUCCUUUUGGCGGGCGUGCCGAUGUAGAGCUCUACCAUGUAGACAUGGGGCUGAGCUUUAAGAGAAAAACGGAGAUGCUCUACGCUGUAGUUGAGACCUAACAGGGAUAGUCUCAAGAGUCGUGCGCGAGCCAUGUCAUCUGCAUAAAGAUGCCUCGCCCUCUCAUAUUUUGUAAGGUUUCCAGGAAAGAGAGGAGAGUAGAUGGAGUAUUUAUGGAUCAAAUUGAGGUGUAGAGAAUGAACAAUUUUUAGUAAAAGUACCAAGACAAAAAGAACGAUAUGCCAUGUUUGUGCCAUCUCUUACUCUUUCGUAAUGGGGACUCUAAUCAUAACAAUAUUAAUUUGAUUAGAACAAUAUAAAGCAAAUAAGGAUUUUCUAACAACCUAAAAUUUUUGGACAUGAAUCAAUAAAAUGUGAAUUGUGCGGCCUCCAAAUGUUGAGUUUGAAGUUAUUGUUCAUUAAAUUUAUAGAUGUUAGGUACCAUUUUGGUGAUAUCCUUGAGAUAUGCAUAUCUUAACUUUUCCAAAUUUCAUAUAGCAAAAGUAAAAUAUUCUCAGUAGAGAUUAUAAAAAAUAAAAAACUUCCAAUUUGGUAUUCUUUAUCUAUACACUCUAAUUAUACAAGUUAAUAGCUUAUUAAAUACUAAAAAAGAAAUUGCAACUUGUUGAAAAAUAGAAGUUUUAUUAGUAAAAGUAGUUUUAAUUUAGCAAACAAUGUAUAGUAAAAUGAAUGACAUGGAAUUACUUUAAUAACCCUACAUAAAAUUUUCGCACAUGUGAUCCCCUGAUUAACAGGGGGUCACCCAUCCUAAUACUACUCUAACUCUAUAAACACACUUAAUCCUCUUAACCUUUUAGGUCUAACCACUGUCCAAAAUACUACAGCCGGAUUAAUAGGUCUAAUUCUAUUAUAUCUUAUAUAUAUAUGACUAUUUCAAAUAUUAGGGGUGUCACAUUCCUCCCCCCGUUAAGUCCUGACAUUCUUGUUAGGCUCAAGCAUAUUUACAAGCACCGGGCGAUGUGAGAUUCGUUGCAUCAGCCUUUGACUGAUAUUGUAGGAAACUGAGCUCCACCCACAAUGGUUAUCAGAUGGGAAGCUGCGCUCUGCCCGUUAUGUAAUUCUAGCUAAGCUGAGACUCAUUUUAUAUUUCUUGCUGGUGGUUGGUUUUGAUACCAACUGUGACGCCCGCUUCCCAAAGGGUCAUCUAUUCUAGAACUAUUCUAGCUCUAGUACGCUUAACCCUUUUGACCACUUGGGCCUAACCACCGCCCAAAUGCUAUAGUCGGAUUAAGAGGUUUAGCCCUAUUAUAUUUUAUAUAUAGGAUUAUUCUAAAUCCUAGGGGCGUCACAAAAUGUAACAUUAUCUUGUCAUAAUUUGCUAAAGAUGUCACGGCCCGAGUCCUGCCGGUUGGACUUGCUCGGGCAUGUGCAAAAUACCUGCUGAACAGGCAAGGUUCUUCUACCCACAGGAAGCGAAAUAUAUACCAACCUGAAAAACUCAUAUAUGAUAUAGGUACAUAGAACACCAGAGCGAAUACUUCUAAAUUUAUCAUUUCAACAUUAACUCUUUAGCUUACAAUAUUUGAUUUAACCGAAAAUGUUACAUUAUUUACUCAACAAAAAAAGGUACUUUUCGUUGACCAACUAACCACGAUCUAUCUAGCUCACGAUACUUUUACCAUGGUCCCAUGCUUCGUCAGCGGUAGAAGGCUUUGAAAAGAGGUAAUUAAACGUACAACAAAGGGUUGAGAACUUUAAAUAUGUUUUCAGUUGGUGUAACAUCCAAAAGUAGCUCGCUAUACUCACUUAGUCCAAAAGAAGUAUUAGUAGAUAACAAUAAUAAGUAAAAUAGCAAUUUCUAUAAAAGAAAUAUAAGUAAAUAAGAUACAACUACGAUGCCUCAAGAUACAUAUACAAUAUGCCACUAGCGACACUAUGUCAAUGGUUUAUAAGUUUACCCAACUAGCUCUUGUCACUUACUAAUUAUUUGGUUUGGUAUUAUUUCUCACUAUAUACCUCAUGGAGAGUCCAAGGCUAUCGACGUCCCUCCAAUCAGUGAGCACUUGGCAUUGAAGAAAAUUGGCAUCACUAAGUACUGUAGGGAGUCGAGAGGAUUGGCAUCUCCCAAGUACAAAGUAGGGCAUCGAGAAAAAUUGGCACCACCCAAUAUAACACUUCCAUAAGGUCUCAACGUGUCCCACAAUUAUACCCUAAGUUUUUAUGACUUUUAGGGUUAUCCAUAAGGUUUAUUACCAUAUUCUUUUAUCUCUAGUUUCAAGUAUUGCCUAGAGUUCAUAUGUCACUAUGUUGUUCACACAUUAUGUUCUAACAUUUUCUCUCUUUCUCUCAUUUCUUUUUCUUCACUUCACUUAACCCUGCACCACCAGCAGACACCCCUUUCUCUCUCUCUCUCUCUCUCUCUGUCUCUCUCUUAUUUUGUCUUUUUUUUUUUCGUUUUCUUACCCAAGUAGGGGUGUAAUGUGGGCCGUGUUGAGCCAGUACAGCCCACAUUAGUCAGGGCCGGAACAGGCUAGGAGUUGGCCCGGCUCGGCUCGGCUUCAUAUCCGGGCCAAGGCGGGCCAGGUUGGAGCAAACAAGCCUCCUGCUCGGGUCGUGUCGGGCUAGGCCAUGUUUCGGGCUUAAACUUUUAUUUUUUAUUUUUUUAAAAUAUGCAAAAUUUUAAAAAUAAAAAAAUAUAUUAGUUAAAUUGAUAUUUUGAUUAAAAAUUUUAAAAUUUUUUUAAAAAAUAUAAAAUAUAACAUAAUAAAUUUUUAUUUUAAAAAAAAUAUAUGCAAUGUUAUUAUUAUUAUUUUUGAAAAAAAAUAAAGUUUUUGGUCUAAUAAAUCAAAUUGUUUGGUCCAUUAGACCAAAAAUCACUCCUCCCAAGUCACUCCUCCCAAGGUCUGCCACUACAGACCUUGGGAGGAGAGCUCCUAGGACCAAGCCCUUCUCCCUAGGAGCUAGGACCCCUAGGGCCAUAGCGUUCGGACCGUGCUAGCCCGGCUGGCAUGGCCCAAGCGGGCCGUGUCGUGCUGGGCUGUGGGCUCUCCUCGGCUUGGCAUAGCCCAGGCCUGAUUCGUGCCAGACCGUGCCGAGCCAUCGGGCCUAAAAUUUGAGGCUUAGCACCACCCCAACGGACCGGGCCGGCAUGGGUGGUACAGCACUCGUGUCGUGCUGCAGCAAAAUCCGAAGCCAUGCCGGGCCGGGCGACCCAUGGGAGGCCCGGCCCGUUUUACAUCCCUACAACCAAGCUUACUCUCUAAUCUCCUCUACAGCUCUACUCUAUUAGCCCUCUUUUGGCCUUAAUAACCUUUUUUAGCGCUCUUUCUUUUUUUUUUUUCUUUUGGCUAUUUUGUGAGUAUGUGAGCAUCUCCUCAUCAUUUUCAAGCACCAAUGUGAAAGUCAGGAUUGCCACAAGAAGGGGCACGACGAUGACAACAAUAGAGAAGAGUAGAUUUACUCCUUCCCUUUUAAAUUUUUCGUUAUCACUUUUGAGUGUAAUUGGAUAUCUUGGCUAAGGUUCCUAUCCGCAGAAGUUCUUGCUGACUCCACAGCACAGUCAGAAGCACGGAUUGGAGUAGCAAGCUCAAAACUCAUGAAAAUGACCUCAUAUGUUGAUUUUUCUUGAAGGUUUACUCUUGAUUUGGUUUCACACUAAAUAGCUUCUUAUUCGAUGUGCUCUAAGUUGAUUUUGGUGCCCUAGACUGUGUGCGGUCGAUCGACUGCGCCUUUGUAGUUAAUUAUCAUAAAAACUAGUAGGUAGGCGACGAGAUCCAGUGGUUAAACCAGUAUAUGUACAAGUAUUGCUCCAUGUUUUUGAGAUUCUAUUGAAAAUGAAAAAAACAUUUUCCUUUAUAUUCUCGUCUUAUCUUUGUUUUUGCCCACUAGCAUUACAUGGACCUCAGUACUAAAUGGACUGUUAAAAGUUUAGGUACUACUGCGUCCAACUUGAAAGUAUGAGGAUGAAGAUAAAAUUCGACCGAAAGUUUGGGGACCAGAAGUGCAAUUUAUCCAAAUCACAAUUCACAAAACUUUGUAAGGAUCAACAUGUAGUUAUAAAAUUGUGCAGGGAUAGAUAUGAAAUUAUGCCAUUUUCAACUGUUCCUAAAACCCAUUUCGCACGCCCUCUUCCAUCGCGCCAUCUCUCUCUCUCUCUCUCUCUCUCUCUCUCUCUUCCCCAUCAAAACCCUAAAAACCACUCUCCGACGACGACGUCGACGACGACGACGACGACGACGACGACGAAGAAGGAGGGGGUGGGGGAGAGAUUGAUAUCGCGAUCGAGGUCGAGGGAUCGGGCGAUCGAAGAUGAGCACGGUGGACAAGAUGCUGAUCAAGGGGAUCCGGAGCUUCGGUCCGGAGAACAAGCACGUCGUCACCUUCUUCAGGCCCCUCACGCUUAUCGUCGGUCCCAAUGGCGCUGGAAAAACCGUAAUUAAACCCUUCCCUAUCCCCCCCCUCCCCUUCCCCUUCGGGCUUUUCUCCAUUGCUUAUCUCAGUCUAGCUCUUAUGGUCUCCUCUCCCUCUCUUUGUAGACUAUUAUUGAGUGUUUGAAGCUAUCGUGCACUGGCGAGCUCCCGCCCAACUCCCGCUCCGGCCACAGCUUCAUCCACGACCCCAAGGUGCGAAACCGCGGUCAAAAUCUCUCUUUUGAAUGUUUAGCGUGGUGGGUUUUGCUUCAAUUGAAUUUGAUCUUUUGUAAUUGUGGAAUCAGUGACAUAAAGGCGCUAAAGUUGUUAAAAUUCCUCAUUUGAGCGUUUGGAUUACUGUGCUUUGCUGCAAUUGAAUUGGUUUAUUGUAAGUGUCAGACCUUUUUAAACUCCCUAAUUUGAUCACGUAGAGUAGUGGGCUUAGCUUUCCUUGCAUUCUGUUGCAUUUCUUUUAACUGUGGAAUCUCUUGUUAAAAUCCCUCAUUUGAUCGUUUAGAGUGGUGAGUAUUUUUUUUUCUGUUGAAUUGGGUUUCAUGUAAUUAUGAAUCGGUGACCUAAGGUGUUAAACCUCUGCAAUACCUGCCAUUGGAUUGUUUAGACUAGAUGGUUUUGCUUCAUUUUGAUAAGGAUUUUUGUAAUUAUGGAAACGGUGAGCCUUGGUGUUGAACCUUGUAAACAUACCUCAUUGCGGAAAACAGUGACUUUUAAGUCGUUAAACCUUGUCGAAACCGCUCAUUUGAUUGUCUACAAUAGUGGGAAUUGCUUCACUUGAAUUGGGCUUUUCAUAAUGGUGGAAUUGGCUACCUAAGUUGUUAAACCUCAUUAAAAUUCCUCGUUUGAUUGUUUUGAUUAGUGGGUUUUGUGUAAUUGGGUAAUUGGUGAAGGUGGCGGGAGAGACCGAGACAAAGGGGCAGAUCAAGCUUAGGUUCAAGACAGCUGCAGGAAAGGAUGUUGUGUGCAUCCGAUCAUUCCAGCUUACACAGAAGGCUUCAAAGAUGGAGUUCAAGGCUAUCGAGAGUGUACUCCAAACCAUCAAUCCCCAUACCGGAGAAGUAAAUCUUUGUCUGUCCCUUUAGAAUUGUUACUCAUUAACAAGUGAUUUGAUUUAUUACUUAUUUGAUUGCUUGUUGGAUUGGUGUUUUGAGUGUAGAAGGUUUGCCUUAGCUAUAGAUGUGCCGACAUGGAUAGGGAGAUACCAGCUUUGAUGGGGGUUUCAAAGGCUAUAUUGGAGAAUGUCAUAUUUGUUCACCAGGACGAGUCCAAUUGGCCGCUACAGGAUCCUUCGACAUUGAAGAAGAAGUUUGAUGAUAUUUUUUCUGCUACACGGUACUUCUUAGUCUUGCCUUGUAGUCUUUUCAAAGAAGUUGUUGUCAUAUUUACCUUGUGCUCAGCUGACGAUCCUUUCAUGUUGAUAUUUGUUUGCUUCUUCAUUCUUUUCUCUUUAGUUACAUAACAUGCUGAUAACUCUGAAAACAACUAUUAAGGUAACUGCCUAUAUUGCUGUAAUAGUGUAGUGCUCAUAAAUCAUGAUAAUGCUUUAAGCUUUCAUGGCAACUCGCACUAUUAUUUGGUUUUAUUUGGCCGAAAUUCCAAUUUGAACUCCGAGAGGGCUGAUGUUAGGUUGGAAUGAAUUAUUUUAAUGAUGCAUUUUUUAUUAUUGUUGUCCUUCAGUUGUGUUCUGGCAGACAACAUUUUUUUGCGGAAAGGUUUACUGUGAUUUUUUUUUUCCUCCCUUUAAGCUUUACUUAAAAAUUUUCAUGUAACAUAAAAGGUGUUGUCGCAUUGGCUUUUAUUUACUUCAAAUCUUUCUACUUUUGUCUCUUCUAAUUUUGGAGUCAUUAUGUACUAGAUUUUCCUAAUGUUCCUAUUGGCUUUUCCCCAUUAUAGUUACACUAAAGCUUUGGAAGUAAUAAAGAAACUUCACAAGGAUCAAGCACAGGAGAUAAAGACUUACAAGCUGAAGUUGGAGCACCUUCAAACUCUUAAAGAUGCAGCCUAUAAGGUACUGACAAUCACAAUUAUGCAUCUGGGGUGGCCUUAGAUCAUGGUCUCAUUUUUCUUUUGAACGUAUAGCUUUUAUCAUAACUCAGAAACUAAGAGACCCCCUGUAUGACUAGGGGUGUAAACGAGCCGAACACGAGCGAGCUGGGGUCGGCUCGUGUUCGGNGGGGUGUAAACGAGCCGAACACGAGCGAGCUGGGGUCGGCUCGUUAAAGUAUCGAGUCGAAAAAUUCAGCUCGUCUUUGGCUCGUUUAUUAACGAGCUGAACACGAGCUGGCUCACGAGCUAGCCAACGAAUAAUAAAUUAAAAAUGAUUAGAUUAAAUAUAUAUAAAAAAUAAAUUUGUAAAAUCUUAUCCAUUAGACUUUGAUGUAAUAGUUGAAACUUUACAUAUAACUGAGUUUUUUUAUAAUUGAGCUCGCCUUUGUAUUUUUAUUUUGCUAAAAAUUAAAUAAUAAAAAUAUAUAUUAUAUAUAAUUAUUUAUUUAUAUAUAUAAAUAUAAAUUAAAUAAGUUAUAUAAAUAUAAAAUAUAUGUAUUCGAGCUGUUAUCGAGCCGAACACGAGCGAACUGACCUCAGCUCGUGUUCGACUCGUUUAUUAAACGAGCCGAAAAAUUCAGCUCGUGUUCGGCUUGUUAAUAAACGAGCCGAACAUGAGCUGGGGUCAGCUCGCUCGUGUUCGGCUCGAUAACAGCUCGAAUACAUAUAUUUAAUAUUUAUAUAAUUUAUUUAAUUUAUAUUUAUAUAUAUAAAUUAAUUUUUAUAUAUAUAUAUAUAUAUAUAAAAAUUAAUUUAUAUAUAUAAAUAUAAAUUAAAUAAGUUAUAUAAAUAUAAAAUAUAUGUAUUCGAGCUGUUAUCGAGCCGAACACGAGCGAACUGACCUCAGCUCGUGUUCGACUCGUUUAUUAAACGAGCCGAAAAAUUCAGCUCGUGUUCGGCUUGUUAAUAAACGAGCCGAACAUGAGCUGGGGUCAGCUCGCUCGUGUUCGGCUCGAUAACAGCUCGAAUACAUAUAUUUAAUAUUUAUAUAAUUUAUUUAAUUUAUAUUUAUAUAUAUAAAUUAAUUUUUAUAUAUAUAUAUAUAUAUAUAAAAAUUAAUUUAUAUAUAUAAAUAUAAAUUAAAUAAGUUAUAUAAAUAUAAAAUAUAUGUAUUCGAGCUGUUAUCGAGCCGAACACGAGCGAACUGACCUCAGCUCGUGUUCGACUCGUUUAUUAAACGAGCCGAAAAAUUCAGCUCGUGUUCGGCUUGUUAAUAAACGAGCCGAACAUGAGCUGGGGUCAGCUCGCUCGUGUUCGGCUCGAUAACAGCUCGAAUACAUAUAUUUAAUAUUUAUAUAAUUUAUUUAAUUUAUAUUUAUAUAUAUAAAUUAAUUUUUAUAUAUAUAUAUAUAUAUAUAAAAAUUAAUUUAUAUAUAUAAAUAUAAAUUAAAUAAGUUAUAUAAAUAUAAAAUAUAUGUAUUCGAGCUGUUAUCGAGCCGAACACGAGCGAACUGACCUCAGCUCGUGUUCGACUCGUUUAUUAAACAAGCUGAAAAAUCCAGCUCGUGUUCGGCUCGUUUACUAAACGAGCAAGUCGAUCUCGAGCUCAUUUCGAGCCGAACACGAACUGGGGUCAGCUCGCUCGUGUUCGGCUCGAAAUAAGCUCGAGAUCGGCUCGCUCGUUUAGUAAACGAGCCGAAUACGAGCUGCAUUUUUCAGCUUGUUUAAUAAACGAGUCGAACACGAGCUGGCUCGCGAACAGCGAGCUGGAUUGCCACCCCUAGAUAGACCCUUGUUAUCAUCCCGAAUAAUAGCAGUAAGAUAUUGUCAAAAUAAAAGGAUCUGCAAUGGUAUUAAUUUCCAACACUGUACUCUCUUUUAUGUCAUCAAAGGCAUAAAAUCGCUUCAGGGCGUGUUUUCCCUCAAAAAAAAAAAAAAAAAAANUCUUGGAGAUAUCACUUGUUUCUUAUUUUUAGUACUUGUUCUAAUACCAUGGUCUCAUAUACGUACGAUUCAAUCACAAUUAUGCAUCAUGGUCUCAUAUUACUUUUGAAGUAAUAGUUUUUAUCAUAAGUCAGAAAAGAAGAGACUUGACUCAAUUCAUUUUUUGUGCUUAAAUAAAUUCUAAUAUAUUUCUAACUAUUGCGAUAUUGUUCUCAAUAAGCCUGGGUUAUUUUGAAGAAGAGGCUAAUUUUAACUACACUAAAACCCGCCUGAGCUCAAUGACUAGUAUUGAGUUUCUGAUUUCUCACCAAGUCAACUGAGUUUCUCCAAGCUUGACUUCUCUGAGUUCCGUACACUGAGCUUAUAUCUGAGUCAACUUGAGAUCAAGCUGCACUAAGAUAGAACUCUUCCAAGUUUUGAGUCAACUCUGGAAGUUUUUGAAGUAUGCUUCUUUAUCAAUGGGUUGAAUGCUACAAGUAUGUCAUUUUCUAGUUUGUACUUGUUGGAUUCAGAUUCAUGACAAACAGUUGAUACUUGUUUCUUGCAUUUACUGAUACUUGUUUCUUGCAUUUACUGCUCAUUUUGUAUUAGGCUGUAUUUGUUUCUCUUUUGACAACAUUUUCUGUGCUGUUUCAGGACAUACUAAUGAUGGUUCUUGUUACAGCUUCGUGAGAAUAUUGCUCAAGAUCAAGAGAAAUCUGAAUCCUUGAAAACCCAAAUGAAAGAACUAGAGAUGAGCAUCCAAGGCGUGGAGAGUAAGAUCACUCAUACUGAAACAACUCUGAAGGAAUUGAGGAAGCUUCAAGAUCAGAUUUCAACCAAUACUACUGCAAGAAGCACGUUGUUCAAGCUUCAGCAGACACAAUAUGCUGCUCUCGUGGAGGAAAAUGAAGGUACUCGCUUCCUCUUCUUGGGGCCUGAUAUAUUUUUUGUUCAACCUAGCUUUAAAGGAGCUUCUCUACUCUAAAAACCAGAAGCUUUUAGUAGCCAAACAUUGGCUAACAGAAACUGUCGAGCUUUUACUGGGGCACAAAGCUAAAUGAGCUUUUGGGCCCGAAAAAGCAGAACUCCAAUAUAUACCUGAUAAAAUCAGAAGUUUCUGGAAAACAGUCUAGCUAACAAAAAGUAUAGAAUUCUUAUUGUGUUGAGAAGCUUAAGUGAGAUUUGGGUUCCAAAAGCAGGUCCUAUUUGAACUACUGCUUCUGCUGAUGUAAGAAGCUGCUGAGGAGAUUCUAAGAAAGAAGAUGUCACUAGCUUAUUGCUUCUCUAAACAGCUCUAAACAAAAAUCACAUUUGUAGAAGCUUCACCUGGACCAAAAUAGGUCCUCAGCGUGUCAACUUUCUGCCGGAUUAACAACUGUCUUCCUUUCCGUUUAGAUACUGACGAGGAGCUGAGGGAAUGGCAAACAAAAUUUGAAGAGAGAAUUGCUUUAUUAGAGACUAAAAUUAAUAAGCUGGAGAGGGAGAUGAAGGAUGAAGAGACUAAAAGUUCCUUGCUGUCGCAGACCAUCAACGAUUCUAUGCGUGAGAUUGGAAAACUUCAGGCUGAAGCUGAUGUAAUUUGCUAGGUUUCUGUUUUGGCCUUUCACGGGCUGUUUUGUCUGGCCUCUAGAAAAGCUUCUUCACUCUGAAAUGUAGUAACUAUGCAUUUGGAAAAUGAAAGAUUUGGAGGUUUUGCAAUGGUGGGAAGCUAAAUGAGCUUCUAAGCCAUAAAGCGGAAGCCUUAGUUUGAAGCUUCUAAUUUUCCCAAGUGAAGUGAAAAAACUGCUGUUGUCUUUCGACCGACUUAACAGCAUUUUUCUACCGAAGCUCCAACCAGGCCAUACAGGCCCUCAAUAUUUUAUUUUACUACACAUGUUGUGCUUCAAAUGAUGGUGCACAUCUUUCAGGCUCAUAAUGUUGUGAGGCACGAACGUGAUUCGACCAUCCAGAAGAUAUUUACGAAACAUAAUCUUGGGUCUCUUCCUGAUGCCCCUUUCAGUAAUGAUGUGGCUGUCAACCUGACAAACAGACUAAAGAUGAGGUUAUUAGAUCUUGAGAAGGAUUUACAGGAUAAGAAGGUGCUUGCAUAGUGAAACUUGAAGUUUGCUAUCUCAAGUACAUACUUUAUAUGAUUUUAUGUGGCUGCAAUUGUCUUAUCUUGAAAUAUUCAUUCAAUUGUCUUUCACCUUUCUUCCUGUUGUAAUCAUUACAACUGCUGCAUAAAAUGAGUCACUCGUGCAAAUGUUUGUACCCUCCUUACUGUUGUUUUAUGAUUAGAGAAACUGAAAUGCAAAAACAAAAUUGGUUGUGUGAAUCCAUUAAGAUAACCUUCAAAGGGACUGAGUUUUUAUUUCUCUCCUUUCACAUGCCGCCAAAAGCCUCAAUUUUUGCCAUGCAGUAUUCCAAUGACGCUUGAAGUUAUUUCUUUACAUUAGAUUAAGAUAUUGUUCCUGUAAUACUAAAUUUAAUGCUUUGGCAUGAUGCAUUCUGCUUAUGCAGAAAGCUGGUGAGAUGGAACUGAAGUUUCUAUGGGAGCGUUAUGUUGCGGUAAAUGCUCGUUGCUCUGAAAUCGAAGGCCAGAGGCAAGCUAAGAUUGAAUCUAAGGUCUGUUCUGGAAAUGUACAUUUUGGUUUUAGCUUCAACCACUCUAUUUAAUACUUGUUAGGUCUGGCUUCUACUGGGAGAACCAGCUUUGAGAAGCCACGUUUGGCUAACAAGAUGUCUGAAAUUUUCUAUGCCGGGAAGUUGAAAUGAGCUUUGGGUUCUAAAGCAAAAGCUCUAAUUUGAAAUUUUUGUUUCUGUUGUAGUGGGAAACAGUCGAAUAUAUAUAUAUGUGUGUGUGUGUAGAGAGAGAGAGAGAGAGAGAGAGAGUUGAGUUAGAAUAUUGUCGGUAGCAAACAGACUUUGUUGCUACCGAUUUGUUUUUGAUGAUAGAGCCUCCGAAUCGAUGAUCGGCACCGUUGAACAUGAUCUAGAUUACUUGAAAUAUUUAGAAAUCACAUUUUAAAUUUUUUCGACAUUAGUGAUCUAAUGAUCAAAGGGUCGCAAAAUUUAUAAUUUUAAUGGUUGAUAUGAGUCAUUUUCUCAUUUAAUGGUGUAAAAGAAUUUAAAUCAGUUGAAUUUUUGUUAGAAAAUUCCUUAAACUAUUUGAAACAAGAUCUACACUCUUGAUCUUGAUUAUAAAAAUUCUAUCAUCACUUUUAAAGGAUAUUUAUUUUUAGCCGUUCAUUUUUUAUUUUCCACUUGAUGUACAAGAGAACAAUAUAGAAAAAAAAAGAAAUUUGAAUUCUAAAUACAUUAGUGGUGCCGAUUAUUAAGUGGCCUAGAUCAUGUUUAAUGGUGCCGAUCGUCGAUUCAGAGGCUCCAUCAUCGAAAACAAAUCGGUAGCAACGAAGCUCGUUUGCUACUAAUAGUAUUUUAGCUUAACUCUAUAUAUAUAUUUAUACAUGCAUAUACAUAUAUAUACUUAUACAUUUAUAUUCAUAUAUUUAUAUAUAUUUCUUUAUUUAAUUUUUUUCUUUUGGUGCAAAAGCUCUAGCUUGGCGAAACAGCCCUUGUCAUUUGUUUGUAAAAUAAUUUCUGUAUUAUAUUUAUCCUCAGUUUGGAAUUUCAAAGCGCAUAAAAGAGAAGGAGAAUGAGCGAGAUUUUGCUGAACAAGAACUAUCAAACCUUAAUCUGGCGCACAUUGAUGAUCGGGAGAGAAACCUGGUGCUUGUUCUUUCUCAUCUCGUUAGGAAAAAGUUCUUAACUAUUCAUAUGAAAAUAAAAUCUUUCAUUUUGUUUUGAUUGUAGCAAAUCGAGGUUGAGAGGAAAACUCUUGUCUUGGGAGAGAGGGACUAUGAAUCAACAAUAAACCAAAAAAGGACGGAGAUAUUUAGCAUUGAGCAGAAGAUCAGAGCUCUGUACCGUGAGAAAGAUGUCUUGGCUAGUGAUUCUGAGGAUAGAGUGAAACUAGAUUUGAAGAAGGAAGAAUUAGAAAGCUGCAAGAGGAAGCUGAAAAAGAUGCAUGUCCUUUGUUUUUCCUCAUUUUUUUUUUUCUUUUAUCCAAAAUUUGUAAUCCUUCCGCCCCACUCAGUGCCUUGAGAUUCAGUAGAAAGUAACAUCUAUAUUCUUUAACUUUCAGAAUGGAUGAAAACAAAGACAAAAUUAGAGGUGUGCUUAAGGGGAGGCUUCCUUCUGAAAAGGAUCUUAAGAAGGAGAUUGCUAACACCUUCGGGUUGGUCCUAAAGACUCUUUCCUUUCUUCUAUUUGGAUUUACACGUGUAUUAGGCAAUUGUUCAACUUAAAUGAGUAUCAUUUAACCCAAUAAUAUAGCAUCCCUUUUUUAGUUUUAUAUUUCUUUACAUUUUGUGGUACCUGCUAUUUGGGUUAACUUCCUUUUGCCAACAAAACCUUAUCAUUUGUAGAUUCAAAUUGCUCACGGCAAAGCAAACUUUCUUUUACUAAUGUAGCAUUUACUGUUUGAGAUCCUAAAGCAAAUUUAUUAAGCUUUCAAUCUUAGUCAUUUUGCAUCAAUUUUUUCAUAUAUUGAUGUGAUCCUGUUCCUUAUUUCCUUGACAGAUGCAUAUCUUUUGUAUUCAGAAGCUUCAGUCUGACAAGAUUUGUCUUCUAAGUUCUAACUAUAUGUUGUUCUUUAAACUCCUACGACUGCUUAGCUGAAGAGUAACACCCAAAUGAAUCUAGAUCAAGGAUGUUUCUCUAGUGUGACUUUUGUUAUUCUAGUUCCUGAAUUUGCUGUACAUAUCUUUAGAUGGUUCAAAAGUAAUCUCUACAAAUAUAGGUAAAAGUAGACUAUAGUGGAAAAUUUGUAGCCAUGUGGGACAAAUAUCUGAUCAUGUUAUAAUUUUCUCCAUUGGAAGGACUCUUUUGCUACCUCUGCAUCUAUGUAGGUUAUAAAUUUAUUACACCAAUACACCAUCAUAUCAUCAUAUUGCCUAAGCAAACUCUUUGUCUUAACAUUCUGCACCUGGUAUAUGGCAUUGUUGUAUUUUUUUGCCUUUUGUGUUAUAAUAAAUAAUAAGGUUUUCUAUCAUCUUUUUCAGAUCUCUAAAAAAGGAGUAUGAUGACUUGAACUCUAAAACUCUUGAAGCAGAGAAAGAGGUAAAAUUGGUGCAGAUGAAAAUACAGGAUACUAAAGCUCACCUGUCAAAGCUUCAAAAAGAUAUGGAUGGUAAAUUCACCAACUAGGAGUCAUAUAAGCAUUCUUCGUCUUUUCUUUAUCUCUGUUUCCUGUACAUCGCGAAUGAGUGUAACUUCACUUGGCAAAGUUUGUUUUAUUUAUUUUAUCUUCUUUACGUUGUCAUCUGUCUCAUGUUGUUUUUUGCAUCAAUAUGGAAGAUUGUUGACCUCAAUGAGAGAUGCUACCAUUUAGCUCCUUGAUUUCAUACAUAUCCUUAAUGAGAUAUAUUACAGUUUCGCUUACUUUAAAACCUCAAAGACUAGUUGGCCAGUAGGGUGAUGGUACCUUAUUGUUUGAGCAUGGGCUGUGCAGAAAAGGAGCGUCCCCUACAAGGAAAAAGAUUUUUAUAAAUAAUGCUUUGAGAUCUCAUUUGAUACUGCUCACAUUUUUCUUGUUUUUCUUGUUUUUCUCUGAAACUUAAAUUGUAUAUAAUUGAAUGUACGAGCCGUUGGUGGAUUAUUUACAAUCUAUACAUCUACUGGGUUUGUUUUCCUGCUAAAGUAGAGUAUAUAGUGAAAAAUUUCCUUUCUUGUAUCAUUGUUUUUGUAAGAAAAGAAGCAAGCUAACCAACAAGAAGAACAAUAACAAGAAUAUAGAAGUCCACUCUGAGGCGUUCAAGGGCAUAGAAUUUGAGUUCAUGAAAGAAAAAGAAACUGAAGUACCAAAUGAGGCCUCAAAAUAAACAUAAAUUUGGGCUCGCACUAAUCUAUGUUGCUUAUCUGUGAUUCCCUGCUAGUGUGGCUGGGAUAUAGGAUGCCAGCCGAGAUGACAGGGUGGUGAGAAGCAAAUAAAUUGCCAUUUGCAGCCUAUAGUGAUUUCAGCUUUUGGACGUUUAAACUUUAAAGUUCUUGUAAGCUGUUCAAUCAAGCCUGUCUGCACCCAGCAGUGCUGUAUCGUUAGGUUGUAACCAUGGAUGAGUUUGCCUUAUGGUCAUUAAGGUGGUUCAAAGGCCAUUCACUGAAUGAAUAAAAUGGGUUGAUAUAUUGGGUUGUAAUUAGAGAGAGAAAGAUGAUAUAAAGAAGAUAAUGUCUGAAAGGAAAAAAGAGCUGGGUAUGAGAACAG
Molecule: long non-coding RNA, 41120 nt
Filed under: Ananas comosus (pineapple)
Lineage: Eukaryota; Viridiplantae; Streptophyta; Magnoliopsida; Poales; Bromeliaceae
Description: long non-coding RNA (ACOM_LNC030155)
Source: RNAcentral